CGGACGGGUGAGUAAUGCUUGGGAAUCUGGCUUAUGGAGGGGGAUAACUACGGGAAACUGUAGCUAAUACCGCGUAGUAUCGGAAGAUGAAAGUGUGGGACCGCAAGGCCACAUGCCAUGAGAUGAGCCCAAGUGGGAUUAGGUAGUUGGUUAGGUAAAGGCUGACCAAGCCGACGAUCUCUAGCUGGUCUGAGAGGAUGACCAGCCACACUGGAACUGAGACACGGUCCAGACUCCUACGGGAGGCAGCAGUGGGGAAUAUUGCACAAUGGGGGGAACCCUGAUGCAGCCAUGCCGCGUGAAUGAAGAAGGCCUUCGGGUUGUAAAGUUCUUUCGGUGAUGAGGAAGGCGGUUGUUUUAAUAGAACAAUCGAUUGACGUUAGUCACAGAAGAAGCACCGGCUAACUCCGUGCCAGCAGCCGCGGUAAUACGGAGGGUGCGAGCGUUAAUCGGAAUAACUGGGCGUAAAGGGCACGCAGGCGGUGACUUAAGUGAGAUGUGAAAGCCCCGAGCUUAACUUGGGAAUUGCAUUUCAUACUGGGUCGCUAGAGUACUUUAGGGAGGGGUAGAAUUCCACGUGUAGCGGUGAAAUGCGUAGAGAUGUGGAGGAAUACCGAAGGCGAAGGCAGCCCCUUGGGAAUGUACUGACGCUCAUGUGCGAAAGCGUGGGGAGCAAACAGGAUUAGAUACCCUGGUAGUCCACGCUGUAAACGCUGUCGAUUUGGGGAUUGGGCUUUGAGCUUGGUGCUCGUAGCUAACGUGAUAAAUCGACCGC
RNAcentral lists this ribosomal RNA (775 nucleotides) under uncultured Actinobacillus sp. Its description in RNAcentral is "bacterial SSU rRNA". It matches the Rfam family "Bacterial small subunit ribosomal RNA", at positions 99 to 872 of the family's 1533-position model. Lineage: Bacteria; Pseudomonadati; Pseudomonadota; Gammaproteobacteria; Pasteurellales; Pasteurellaceae. The record is from RNAcentral.